GGGUUGUGAGGUUAAGCGACUAAGCGUACACGGUGGAUGCCCUGGCAGUCAGAGGCGAUGAAGGACGUGCUAAUCUGCGAUAAGCGCCGGUAAGGUGAUAUGAACCGUUAUAACCGGCGAUUUCCGAAUGGGGAAACCCAGUGUGACUCGUCACACUAUCAUUAACUGAAUCCAUAGGUUAAUGAGGCGAACCGGGGGAACUGAAA
RNAcentral lists this ribosomal RNA (206 nucleotides) under Salmonella enterica. Its description in RNAcentral is "partial 23S ribosomal RNA". It matches the Rfam family "Bacterial large subunit ribosomal RNA", at positions 1 to 198 of the family's 2925-position model. RNAcentral also lists the same sequence under 1 other name. The record is from RNAcentral. Lineage: Bacteria; Pseudomonadati; Pseudomonadota; Gammaproteobacteria; Enterobacterales; Enterobacteriaceae.